Molecule: long non-coding RNA, 358 nt
Organism: Gossypium arboreum
Lineage: Eukaryota; Viridiplantae; Streptophyta; Magnoliopsida; Malvales; Malvaceae
Exons: 3
Source: RefSeq, a predicted model, not a curated record
UUUAAGCAAGCAAAACCUGAUUGUGCUUACUUUCUGAAAACGGGAAGAUGCAAGUUUGGUUCCAAGUGUGCUUUCAAUCAUCCAAGCCAUGUUUUGGCUACAACUUCAGGUGUUGCUUCAGAAAAUGAUGAGGCGUCAUCCAUCCAUGAAGAGAGGACUGAGGAAUGUUCUUGCUCUGCAACCUGCAAAGGUAAGCACCCGAGAAGAGAGGACCAUAGCCAAAAUUAAGCUAAUCCAAGGAGCCAUUGAUAAACUGAAGAUGUAAUAAAUAUAGAACCCUUAUUGCAGUUGUUUUUUGUCUUUUAAGAUGUUAGAAAUUGAAUAAAAUUGUAGGUUUCUUUUAAUACUUUUAGUCUUG